UGUGCCCUACGGGAGGCAGCAGUCGGGAAUAUUGCACAAUGGAGGAAACUCUGAUGCAGUGACGCCGCGUGCAGGAAGAAGGUUUUCGGAUUGUAAACUGCCUUAGAUGGGGAAGAAGAAAGACUGUACCCAUAGAAUAAGCUCCGGCUAACUACGUGCCAGCAGCCGCGGUAAUACGUAGGGAGCAAGCGUUAUCCGGAUUUAUUGGGUGUAAAGGGUGCGUAGACGGGAAUUUAAGUUAGUUGUGAAAUCCCUCGGCUUAACUGAGGAACUGCAACUAAAACUGAAUUUCUUGAGUGCGGGAG
Molecule: ribosomal RNA, 305 nt
Filed under: uncultured bacterium
Lineage: Bacteria
Description: bacterial SSU rRNA
Rfam family: Bacterial small subunit ribosomal RNA
Source: RNAcentral